This is a long non-coding RNA of Macrosteles quadrilineatus (aster leafhopper), 327 nucleotides long. RefSeq lists it as uncharacterized. Lineage: Eukaryota; Metazoa; Arthropoda; Insecta; Hemiptera; Cicadellidae. The transcript is spliced from 4 exons. The record is from RefSeq and is a predicted model, not a curated record.
GUAAACUGUCAACUCCAAAGUAAAUAAUAACAAUACAAAUAAGUGUUUACACUAAUUCAUCAAUGCAUCACUACUUUAUGACAAACCCAAACUUCUAAAAUGUCUUGUUCUACAACUUCUCUAAUGGAUGUCAAAAUAGUUUUUUCCGAUAAUAAUGCUGUUAAAGAAGAACAGUGUAAUCCACCCAAUGUUCUUGAGGAACCCAGUGUGAACAAUCAGCCCAAGAUUGAGAUCAAUGAUAGACUGGUCAGUAAUGGAAACAGCAUCACAGCCCCUUGUGAUAUCAGCAAGAUAGAAAAUGAGUUGAAAAAUGAACCGAAAAGAAAA